Molecule: long non-coding RNA, 1408 nt
Filed under: Homo sapiens (human)
Lineage: Eukaryota; Metazoa; Chordata; Mammalia; Primates; Hominidae
Description: non-protein coding lnc-PABPC4-1:3
Source: RNAcentral
CCUUAAUCUGGUGCCGGAUGGGGUGGGGCACGGUGCGGGCUUCCGGCGGAAGCGCUGGAAGCAAGAUGGCGGCCGCCGAGAGGGUUCACAAAGGCUCUGGUCCAUUAGAGGAAGGAGGUCCCAGAAUAGCUGGGAAAUUACGAGAACAGCCUCACUGCACGAGUUGGUGAAUGCUGUGAUGGCGAUUGUAUGAUGGACGGUGAUGUUGAAACCAGACUGGGGAAUGACCGCCCCAUCCGGAGAGUUUGGUCAGAUGAAGACUGGGUGGAGAAGUUUGCUGGGAAGAGGAUAAAGAGGAAGGUGGUUGAGACUUCCCAAAGCAGAAAGCCAGGAGGUAAGAAUGACAGUUCAUGCUUCCAUAGGAGAGGCUGCUGCUUUCCACAUAGGGAAUUUCUGAGGUGAGUGGUGUUGGGUGAAUUUAAAGGAGAAGUUUUGGCUUUCUUAUCUAGGUGAGAAAUAUCUUAUGUGGGCUCAGGUAUUUGUGAUUGCUGCUGAGCAAGGCGGAUAUCUGAGGUGAGAAAGGAUGGUGAGUACUCUGCAUCACCAGCAUCCGCUAUCCUCCUAGUCUUUGGCAGCAGGCUCACUGUCUUCCUGUUCUUGCCCUAAUUCCAAGGGGGCAGAAUCAUGUAGAGGUCCCUUCCCCUCAGUCAGUACACAGGCACAAGGCUCUCCCUGCCCUCUCCACUUGCUCCUGCUUCUCCAUCAGGCCAUCCUGACUGUUGCUUCCCAGGAUAAUUUAAGGGCUCCUCCUCCUCAGUCCACCCUUUGAGCAGUGAUAUUUCCCUGAAUUCCUUCCUUAGCCCUCAGCACCUCUCUCCACAUUAUCCUUAUGCCAUGUCAGCCCCUUCUAUCUCCUAAGGUUAUAACGAUCUUUCAUUGUCCGAAUGAUAUUCUGAUCUCUAUCCCUAGCCCUGACCUUUCACAUAUUUCUGUUUGGGUGUCUUAUAGGCACCAUAAAUAAAGCAUAUCCCAAAUGGGUUUCAUCACCUUUCUGGUCUUUUUUUAUGCCCAAUCUUAGUUCACUUUGCCAUCUUCAACAUAGUCACACCCAAACCAGAUUCCUUGGUGCCAGCUUAGAUCCCUCACUGUAUUUCAUACCUAAUGCAUUACCAUACCCUGCUAAUUUUAUCUUUUAAAUCUUGCGUUUCUCCUCUCCAGUUUUCUUCUGCCACUGUUGUCUUGGCUGAGGCCUUAUCCUCUCUCCUGUGAAUAAUUGGAGUAGCUUCCUAACUGGUCUCCCUGCCCCAGGCCUGUUUUCCUCCUAUCCUUAGCAGCCAGAGGGAGCUUUCUAAAGGGCAGAUCUGACUAUCUCACUCUCCUUAAGCAUUCUAGGGACUCCCUUGAUUUAUAGGAUUGAGUCCAGCCUCCAUCAAAAGGGACAGAAGACCUCUCUAUGUUCUGAUUCCUG